GACGAACGCUGGCGGCGUGCUUAACACAUGCAAGUCGAGCGGUAAGGCCCUUUGGGGUACACGAGCGGCGAACGGGUGAGUAACACGUGAGUAAUCUGCCUUUGGCUUGGGAAUAACUUCGGGAAAUCGGGGCUAAUGCCUGAUGUUUACUGUCUGCUGCAUGGUGGGUGGUGGAAAGAUUUUUUGGCCAGGGAUGAGCUCGCGGUCUAUCAGCUUGUUGGUGGGGUAAGUGGCUACCUAAGGCUUUGACGGGUAGCCGGCCUGAGAGGGUGUUCGGCCACACUGGGACUGAGACACGGCCCAGACUCCUACGGGAGGCAGCAGUGGGGAAUAUUGCGCAAUGGGCGUAAGCCUGACGCAGCGACGCCGCGUGGGGAGUGAAGGCC
RNAcentral lists this ribosomal RNA (386 nucleotides) under uncultured bacterium. Its description in RNAcentral is "bacterial SSU rRNA". It matches the Rfam family "Bacterial small subunit ribosomal RNA", at positions 28 to 416 of the family's 1533-position model. The record is from RNAcentral.